RNAcentral lists this ribosomal RNA (253 nucleotides) under uncultured bacterium. RNAcentral's name for it is "partial 16S ribosomal RNA". It matches the Rfam family "Bacterial small subunit ribosomal RNA", at positions 524 to 776 of the family's 1533-position model. The record is from RNAcentral.
UACAGAGGGUGCAAGCGUUGUUCGGAAUUACUGGGCGUAAAGCGCGUGUAGGUGGCGUCGUAAGUCGGAUGUGAAAUCCCUCGGCUUAACCGAGGAAGUGCAUUCGAUACUGCGAUGCUUGAGUACCGGAGGGGAUGGCGGAAUUCCCGGUGUAGAGGUGAAAUUCGUAGAUAUCGGGAGGAACACCUGUGGCGAAGGCGGCCAUCUGGACGGUCACUGACACUGAGACGCGAAAGCGUGGGUAGCAAACAGG